This 1156-nucleotide ribosomal RNA is filed under the name uncultured bacterium. RNAcentral describes it as "bacterial SSU rRNA". It matches the Rfam family "Bacterial small subunit ribosomal RNA", at positions 39 to 1178 of the family's 1533-position model. The record is from RNAcentral.
GCGGCGUGCCUAAUACAUGCAAGUCGAGCGAUGAUUGAAGAUAGCUUGCUAUUUUCAUGAAGAGCGGCGAACGGGUGAGUAACGCGUGGGAAAUCUGCCGAGUAGCGGGGGACAACGUUUGGAAACGAACGCUAAUACCGCAUAACAAUGAGAAUCGCAUGAUUCUUAUUUGAAAGAAGCAAUUGCUUCACUACUUGAUGAUCCCGCGUUGUAUUAGCUAGUUGGUAGUGUAAAGGACUACCAAGGCGAUGAUACAUAGCCGACCUGAGAGGGUGAUCGGCCACACUGGGACUGAGACACGGCCCAGACUCCUACGGGAGGCAGCAGUAGGGAAUCUUCGGCAAUGGGGGCAACCCUGACCGAGCAACGCCGCGUGAGUGAAGAAGGUUUUCGGAUCGUAAAACUCUGUUGUUAGAGAAGAACGUUAAGUAGAGUGGAAAAUUACUUAAGUGACGGUAUCUAACCAGAAAGGGACGGCUAACUACGUGCCAGCAGCCGCGGUAAUACGUAGGUCCCAAGCGUUGUCCGGAUUUAUUGGGCGUAAAGCGAGCGCAGGUGGUUUCUUAAGUCUGAUGUAAAAGGCAGUGGCUCAACCAUUGUGUGCAUUGGAAACUGGGAGACUUGAGUGCAGGAGAGGAGAGUGGAAUUCCAUGUGUAGCGGUGAAAUGCGUAGAUAUAUGGAGGAACACCGGAGGCGAAAGCGGCUCUCUGGCCUGUAACUGACACUGAGGCUCGAAAGCGUGGGGAGCAAACAGGGUUAGAUACCCUGGUAGUCCACGCCGUAAACGAUGAGUGCUAGCUGUAGGGAGCUAUAAGUUCUCUGUAGCGCAGCUAACGCAUUAAGCACUCCGCCUGGGGAGUACGACCGCAAGGUUGAAACUCAAAGGAAUUGACGGGGGCCCGCACAAGCGGUGGAGCAUGUGGUUUAAUUCGAAGCAACGCGAAGAACCUUACCAGGUCUUGACAUACUCGUGCUAUCCUUAGAGAUAAGGAGUUCCUUCGGGACACGGGAUACAGGUGGUGCAUGGUUGUCGUCAGCUCGUGUCGUGAGAUGUUGGGUUAAGUCCCGCAACGAGCGCAACCCUUAUUACUAGUUGCCAUCAUUAAGUUGGGCACUCUAGUGAGACUGCCGGUGAUAAACCGGAGGAAGGUGGGG